AUGGGAAAUGCCCUACCUUUGAAAUCUACUUCAACCGAUAUGCCCUUAGGCACGGCCAUGCAUAACAUAGAAAUCACACGUGGAAGGGGUGGGCAAUUAGCUAGAGCAGCAGGUGCUGUAGCGAAACUCAUUGCAAAAGAGGGUAAAUCGGCCACUUUAAGAUUACCAUCUGGGGAGGUCCGUUUAGUAUCCCAAAACUGCUUAGCAACAGUCGGACAAGUGGGUAAUGUUGGGGUGAACCAAAAAAGUUUGGGUAGAGCCGGAUCUAAGUGUUGGCUAGGUAAACGCCCCGUAGUAAGAGGGGUAGUUAUGAACCCUGUGGACCACCCCCAUGGGGGCGGUGAAGGGAAAGCUCCCAUUGGUAGAAAAAACCCACAACCCCUUGGGGUUAUCCUGCGCUUGGAAGAACUAUUCUUAGCAUGA
This 423-nucleotide ribosomal RNA is filed under the name Triticum aestivum (bread wheat). RNAcentral's name for it is "partial small subunit ribosomal RNA". The record is from RNAcentral. Lineage: Eukaryota; Viridiplantae; Streptophyta; Magnoliopsida; Poales; Poaceae.